GCCGAGUGUGGUGGUGCACACCUGUAAUCCCAGCUACCAGGGAGGCUGAGGCAGGAGAAUUGCUUGAACCCAGGAGGCGGAGGUUGCAGUGAGCCAAGAUUGCACCACUGCACUCCAGCCUGGGCUACAGAGCGAGACUCUGUCUCAA
This 148-nucleotide non-coding RNA is filed under the name Nomascus leucogenys (northern white-cheeked gibbon). The record is from Rfam by way of RNAcentral. Lineage: Eukaryota; Metazoa; Chordata; Mammalia; Primates; Hylobatidae.